Molecule: ribosomal RNA, 416 nt
Filed under: uncultured eukaryote
Lineage: Eukaryota
Description: bacterial SSU rRNA
Rfam family: Eukaryotic small subunit ribosomal RNA
Source: RNAcentral
UGAUGAUAAACCGAUCAAAUUUCUGCCCUAUCAUACUUUGGACGGUAAUGUAGUGGAUUACGGUGGUGAUGACGGGUAACGGAGAAUUAGGGUUUGAUUCCGGAGAGGGAGCAUGAGAAAUGGCUACCACUUCCAAGGAAGGCAGCAGGCGCGUAAAUUACCCAAUCCUAAAAACAGGGGAGGUAGUGACGAUAAAUAACAAUGAUUCAAUGAUAACAAAGUUGAAUUAAUUGGAAUGAGAACAAUAUAAAUCCCUUAUCGAGUAACAAUUUCAGGGCAAGUUCUGGUGCCAGCAGCCGCGGUAAUUCCAGCUGAAAAAGCGUAUACGAAUAUUGUUGCAGUUAAAACGCUCGUAGUUGGAAUAAAACAUGGUUUUCUAUUUUUUUAUUUUAAAACGGUAAAAAGUAUAGAAUAUC